RNAcentral lists this ribosomal RNA (606 nucleotides) under uncultured bacterium. RNAcentral describes it as "bacterial SSU rRNA". It matches the Rfam family "Bacterial small subunit ribosomal RNA", at positions 320 to 916 of the family's 1533-position model. The record is from RNAcentral.
GAAUUCACUAGAUGAUUCUCCUACGGGAGGCAGCAGUGGGGAAUUUUGGACAAUGGGGGCAACCCUGAUCCAGCAAUGCCGCGUGAGUGAAGAAGGCCUUCGGGUUGUAAAGCUCUUUUGUCAGGGAAGAAACGGCAUCUCCUAAUACGAGGUGCUAAUGACGGUACCUGAAGAAUAAGCACCGGCUAACUACGUGCCAGCAGCCGCGGUAAUACGUAGGGUGCAAGCGUUAAUCGGAAUUACUGGGCGUAAAGCGUGUGUAGGCGGCUUUGCAAGUCGGAUGUGAAAGCCCCGGGCUCAACCCGGGAAGUGCACUCGAUACUGCAGAGCUUGAGUGUCGGAGAGGUUGGUGGAAUUCUCGGUGUAGAGGUGAAAUUCGUAGAUAUCGAGAGGAACACCAGUGGCGAAGGCGGCUACCUGGACCGAUACUGACGCUCAGGUGCGAAAGCGUGGGGAGCAAACAGGAUUAGAUACCCUGGUAGUCCACGCCCUAAACAAUGUCAACUGGUUGUUGGGGGAGUGAAAUCCCUUAGUAACGAAGCUAACGCGUGAAGUUGACCGCCUGGGGAGUACGGUCGCAAGAUUAAAACUUAAAGGAAUUGACGG